This 587-nucleotide ribosomal RNA is filed under the name Rhodotorula mucilaginosa. RNAcentral's name for it is "partial large subunit ribosomal RNA". It matches the Rfam family "Eukaryotic large subunit ribosomal RNA", at positions 68 to 664 of the family's 3401-position model. Lineage: Eukaryota; Fungi; Basidiomycota; Microbotryomycetes; Sporidiobolales; Sporidiobolaceae. The record is from RNAcentral.
ACAAAGGAUCCCUAGUAGCGGCGAGCGAAGCGGGAAGAGCUCAAAUUUAUAAUCUGGCACCUUCGGUGUCCGAGUUGUAAUCUCUAGAAAUGUUUUCCGCGUUGGACCGCACACAAGUCUGUUGGAAUACAGCGGCAUAGUGGUGAGACCCCCGUAUAUGGUGCGGACGCCCAGCGCUUUGUGAUACAUUUUCGAAGAGUCGAGUUGUUUGGGAAUGCAGCUCAAAUUGGGUGGUAAAUUCCAUCUAAAGCUAAAUAUUGGCGAGAGACCGAUAGCGAACAAGUACCGUGAGGGAAAGAUGAAAAGCACUUUGGAAAGAGAGUUAACAGUACGUGAAAUUGUUGGAAGGGAAACGCUUGAAGUCAGACUUGCUUGCCGAGCAAUCGGUUUGCAGGCCAGCAUCAGUUUUCCGGGAUGGAUAAUGGUAGAGAGAAGGUAGCAGUUUCGGCUGUGUUAUAGCUCUCUGCUGGAUACAUCUUGGGGGACUGAGGAACGCAGUGUGCCUUUGGCGGGGGUUUCGACCUCUUCACACUUAGGAUGCUGGUGGAAUGGCUUUAAACGACCCGUCUAAAACCCCGGGAAAAAAA